RNAcentral lists this ribosomal RNA (433 nucleotides) under uncultured bacterium. RNAcentral's name for it is "partial 16S ribosomal RNA". It matches the Rfam family "Bacterial small subunit ribosomal RNA", at positions 29 to 507 of the family's 1533-position model. The record is from RNAcentral.
AACGAACGCUGGCGGCAUGCCUAACACAUGCAAGUCGAACGAGACCUUCGGGUCUAGUGGCGCACGGGUGCGUAACGCGUGGGAACCUGCCUUUAGGUUCGGAAUAACUCAGAGAAAUUUGAGCUAAUACCGGAUGAUGUCUUCGGACCAAAGAUUUAUCGCCUUUAGAUGGGCCCGCGUUGGAUUAGCUAGUUGGUGGGGUAAAGGCCUACCAAGGCGACGAUCCAUAGCUGGUCUGAGAGGAUGAUCAGCCACACUGGGACUGAGACACGGCCCAGACUCCUACGGGAGGCAGCAGUGGGGAAUAUUGGACAAUGGGCGAAAGCCUGAUCCAGCAAUGCCGCGUGAGUGAUGAAGGCCUUAAGGUUGUAAAGCUCUUUUACCCGAGAUGAUAAUGACAGUAUCGGGAGAAUAAGCUCCGGCUAACUCCGUG